This 24-nucleotide microRNA is filed under the name Saccoglossus kowalevskii. Its description in RNAcentral is "Sko-Mir-2011_5p* (star (passenger))". The record is from RNAcentral. Lineage: Eukaryota; Metazoa; Hemichordata; Enteropneusta; Harrimaniidae.
CGGUCACUGUCACACCUUAAGGUG